CCGGGAAACCAACUGACCUUUCAAGGAUGCGCCAAAUACUUGUGAAACUCAAGCACAAUCCUCCUCCUCAUAUGAACCCAAAACCACCACCACCACCACAAACAGAACCUACCAAAGAUGCAAAAACCAGCCCUGCUGUUGGUUCUGGCACUGCUACCUCAAAGCCUGCAGCCCCUGCAACUCCCAAGGGUGUGGCUGCAGCUUGAGAGACAUUCUACCUCCCUGCUGAAUCUGCUUAUGUGAAGAGUAACUAGCUAUGUUUCAGAAAUGUUUAUUUGGUAUGAUCUUGAACAUUAUGAUGUCUGAAAGUUUGUUAUUGUGAUCAUGCUAAUCUAAGCAUGUGGCAGUAAUCUUGUAGAUUUUUUUUUUUUUUUUUUCUGUAUCUAUUUUGUUGAUUGAUCAUUUUGGUGCGGUUUGUCUUGUGAACUUUUCCUUCAUCGUCUUCCUUUAAACCUUCAACCGUCCGUUUAGUUUGUUUCCCCGGAGUAUUUCAGUUUAAAGACUCCACUAAAGUAGUGGAACAGUGCAGUCACCAUCAGAAGGUGCUGGGAUGAGCUUUGUUUUGCCUCAGGUCAUGAGUAUGGCGCUGUCAGUAAGCAGGGAAAACUACUUAGCUGUUCUGUGAUUGAUAAUGGGAUGCGACAAAUUAAUAGUUAUUAUUGAACUCAAGACCAAUUUAACAGUUCAUUUUGCAGUUACUCAUGGAUGCUCAUUUGGUUAGUCCCAAAGGCCAGGUAGAUGGUGAGACAAACAAGUAGUUGAAGACCAAUAGAAAAGAAUGAGAUAUACAUUCAACUGCUAACAACAAAUUACGCCUUUGGACCGACAAAUCUGCAAUCAACUACACACUAAUGAGUCUAUCCUCUACCCCACCAAACCCCCGCACCCCCCAUUUUUGGAGGGGGAACUUUGAUCUCAAUUUAUAAACAUCAUAAUGGAAACGAAAGAAUAUAGUAAUUCUAUCACCUAGCUAGUUGAGCCGAGGUGGGUACCUCAUGAUCUACAGAUCUCUUGCCCUUGUGCUUUUGAGAAGACGAUGUCUCUGAGCUACUGGCGCCCAAAGAAUAGGAGGUGUUGCCUCUGUAGACCCCUGGCUCUGUCAGUGCUUUCUCAUUCAGAUGGACAUCUUUGGAAAGCAUCUCCACCACCUGCUUCAUUGUUGGUCUGUAAUGCGCACCUGCUUGGGUGCAAAAGAGCCCAACCUUGAUGAAGCGCAUAACCUCCUUUUCUGGAAAUUGAGUCAGCUCUGGGUCAACUAUUUCCAGAAGUCUUCCCUCUUCUCUCAGUUUCCAUGUCUGCAAAAGCAUACAAAUUUUAGUCAUCAAACACUGUAAAACUUGUCCAUCUGGGACAAACAAUAAUUGGUUUUGCCAAGAAUUUUGGAUUUUUCUCAGUCCAAUGUAAAAUAGUAUGGAUCUACAAUAUCAUCAACCAUGCCCUUUGUUUUUUUUUUUUUUUUUUUUUAUUUAAAAGGAGAUAAUUCCAAAUAUCCCAAAAAGAAUCCAAGAGGAACUAAGGACGCAAUGAUACAUAAUAAUAAGAUAAGAAGCCCGAUUAAAAUCAAAGCUUCCCUCUCCCAUUGGCAAAGCUGCUUUAUCUCUCAUUAUAUGACAAGACUAACCGACAGAGACAGGAGUCUACAACUUCCACAAGAUAUGACACAAUUUCCAAAGAUGGAUUUAAUGAGGUGUCAAAACUAUUAAUGCAGAUGAGAUAAAAAGGUAAUAUAUGGUAUGGAUACAUCAACUUCUGUUCCGAGUGAGUUAUCGUGCCAUGACCUUCUAUGUCCUGAACUAUUUAAUGAUACACAUGUUGUGUGAUUCUACAGAUUAUAGGACUAGUGUUAAUAUCAUGGUCCAGGUUUAUCCAUCAACAGUGAGUCAAUUGGUUGUCAAUGCUUAACAAGAAAUGUUCACCCUCUGAUACUGUAAAUAGAGCCCUAUGGGGUUCAGUGAAACAAAGAAAGUCUCAGAUUUGGCAUCUGCACUUUAUAUCUAAUAAAAUAAGACCAACAUGACUUAGAAGAUUCAGCAGCAGAUAAAGUCUAGAGAGAUACCCAUUCAACUAGAAUUAACAUAUCAUCUCCAAAUGCUGCCUUGCUACUACUUCUGCCACUAAUUAUUUCAAGUAAAAGCACACCGAAACUGUACACAUCAGCCUUCUUUGUAAGCUGUCCGAGUAGGGCAUACUCUGGGGCCAGAUAUCCCCUGCAGACAUGGAAGAAAACCCAGAGAUGUGAAAAGAAGCAAAAACAGACAAAACAGACCUAUUAGCAAACCACAAGAAGCCCGAAAAUCCUACUUGAACUAGCUAUCUUUACAAACUUCUGAAGAAAUAAAUGGCCCAGGAAAAUUAAUGGUAAAACAAAAUCCAAUUAAGUGUCCUGCUUACAUCGUUCCAGCAACUCGAGUACUGACAUGGGUGACAUUGUCCGGAAAGAGUUUUGCAAGCCCAAAAUCUCCUAUUUUAGGAUGAAAGUUUCCAUCAAGAAGUACAUUACUAGCCUUAAUAUCUCUGUGGACAAUAGGUGGGUCAGCUUCUUCAUGAAGAAAUGAAAGACCAGAAGCUGUACCCAGGCAAAUAUUUGCUCUUGUAGGCCAGUCCAGAGAAACAUAUUUACUCUUUGAACCUGCAAUGAUAAGCACCAGACAUUAGAGCAUAUAAACUUCGAAAGCUCAUCUAAAUCCAUAAUUUCUUUAACACAAAUACACACAUGAACAUAAUACAAACCUCGAACAUACAAACACAUUUUCCUACCAGAACAAGACUCACAAAUGUUCUUCCAAAUAGUGCAAUUCGGAGAGAUGAGAUUAUAUUUACCUAAUAAUGCAUUUGCAAGGCUGUUAUUCUCCAGAUAUUCAUACACCAAAAUCCUAUUAUUGUCCUCAACACAACAACCGAUAAGUUGGACUAGGUUCGGAUGACGAAUGUUCCAUAUCAUAUCAAUCUCUGUCAAGAAUUCCUUCGUUCCUUGUUUGGAUUCUGCAGACAGACACUUGAUGGCUAUUUGGGCACCAUCUCUUAAAGUACCCUGCAACGACAAAUAAUUAAGCACAUUAGUAUUAAAAUUUUAGCUAGAACCUAAAAGUAACAGCACAAUGGUCAUUUUUCUUAAUCUCACCCUAUAGACAACUCCAAAAGCACCCCCACCAAUCAUGUUAGAUGGAUGAAAAUCCCUGGUUGCCGAUCUCAACGAAUUGUAAGAAUACAACGUUAUAUUGUAGGUGGAGAUGCCUUAAUAAGCAACAAAAAGAUUAAAAAAAAAAGAAAUUAAACAACAUUCAAGAACCUCCGAAGCUGCAACUAAUAAUUGAGCGUAUACAAUCCAAGAGCAAUUGCAGUGUUUCUACAAAACAACAUAUAGCAACUUGAACAUGCUGAAUUAUUUUUAUUAUUACUAUCAUAUGAUUCAUGAACCAAAUUACAAAGCAAUUGGGUCGCUCUAAGUUCUCUCACCAUGUGCUUCAGCCUGAUCACUAUCUUUUCUUUUACAACAUUUGAAGGCACCAAAGCAACUCCAACUCAUUGCAAAAAACCGUCACCGAGUCUUGAGAGUCCACAAACAGAAAAACCCUUAAAACCAACAUGUCUAAGAUCAUCAAAACAGAAAUGUCUAAGAUCAUCAAAACAGAAAUACACAACAUGUCUAAGAUCAUCAAAACAGAAAUACAAAAAAAAAAAAAACAAAAACAAAAACAAUGAACAAAUAAUUUUAAAAAGUAAAAAAUUACUUUUUUAUUCACUGAGUCCUGAAUAUACUUGUUGAAACUUUGCUGGCUGACCAGUAACGUUUCUUGGGUUGUUUAGACAAGGAAAUCCAAGUUUGAUUGUAUAGACUAUUUAUAAGAAAAUUAUAUGAGAGAAGCAUCCGCGUAUCUAUUAAAAAACAAAAAAACAAAAGACAAAAAAAUGGGGUCUGUGAUUAUUUUAAUUAUUUAAUUUUCAUAUUAAUGAAUGAAUUGAGUGCCAAUGACAGAAAAAAAGGUUGAAAGGCUUUGUGACAAAUGAUAAUGACAAUGGUUUCAUUUUUUUUUUUUUUUUGCUCGAUUUCCCGUGUGAAGGAAAGACACGGCAGGAGUACGUUUUUGGCUUUGCUGACAUGAAAGAAAGUCGUCGGGUGGGAGGUAGGUGACAUCGGUUAUCUUUUCCAUUACUUCUUUUAUUAAUUAGUUCAAAUAUUCUGUUCACUUGAAUAUUCAUAAAAUGGAGGGGUAGUUAAAUUUGGUAUGGGAAGAAUUUAAUUAAUAUAGGGUGUGUUUGGAAAUGAUGUAUUGUAAUUUUUAAAUUACAGUUGUUAUGAAAAAAAUUAUAAAUAUGAAAUAAAAAUUAGUAAUAUAUUGUAAAUGUAAAUUUUAAAUAAUAAUUUUAAUAAAAUUAUUAAAGAUAUAAUAGAUUUUUCAUUAUACAAGUGAAAAAUCAUUUCAAUAUAUCUUUCAAACUACAACAGUUAGUGUUUACCAAAAAUUUUAGUACUCUAACUUUUAAACUACAACUGGCCAACCUCAAUCUCAAAUGCACCUAUAAUUUAAAUAAAUUUAUAUUUGAAGAAUGUUUUUAGGAGAAAAUCUAUUCUUUCACUCUUUUAUUUGUCAUAUAGAUAAGUUAAUAAGUCUUUUAAGAGUAAAAUUAAAUGAGUUAUUUGGUGAUGUUACAUAUAAUCUUUUAUAUGAUGGUGAUAUUUUCACCCUAUAAUUUUUUAUAAACCCAUCCCAAGAAAUAAUUACAAAAAUUUCAUAUUACUUUUAAAAAAUAAAGAAAGAGGAAUUUUGGAGAUUUAAUUAAAUAAAUUAAAUACCUAUUAGGUAUAAGAACUCAUUCUUUUGGGGUCAAUUUGGUCAUUUUAUAAAUAUUAGGGUAAAAUAAUUAAAUAAAACUUAUUUUAAAGCAAUUUUAAUGGUCAAUAGUACCUAAGUUAAAAAAAAUAAGAAAAUUAUUUUUUUUUUAAGUAAGGGGUGGGCAAAGCCCAAAUAGGUUUUUAUUUUGCCCCCUUACUACCCCCAAGACUCGAAUCCGGACGUUAUCGGUUAACAAGCUUGAUGCUAUUAAGAAAAUGAUUUAAUUGAUUAACUGUCAAACUUUUCUUCGUACAUUUUAAAACUAAUGCAAGUUUAUUUUAAUUAUUUUCUUAACGUGAGGUGGAUUUACAUAAAAUAUUAGAUAAAAUAUCCCCAUUCUCUUUCAUAUUGUGAUGAUUUUUUCAAUAACCAACUUAAUUUUGUUCAUUUAUAUCAAAUAGGACCUUAAACUCUUAUUCAAAUGAUCAAAAUCAAAUUAUCUUUAAAAUAUUGGUGAAAAUCAUCUUAGGGUUAAAUGCUUCUCAUUUUUAUGGGAAGGAUGUAAGCGAUUAAGUCUCCCUGGUUGAAUGUAGAAUAUAUUUCUUUUCAUAUGAUUUAUUUCGAGUAGAUUCCUUUUUUCAAUUUAGAAUUGAUGUUUGAGUUGCAUUUGUUAACUUGUUGUUAUAAACUUAUAAUGAUGAAAGUUGAUAUUGACAAAAUUUUUUGUUGUAAAUUUUUGAAUUCAUCCUUAUUGUGCUAAGUAAGGUGAAUUUAGGCAUAUUUGUGAUUCAAAAUUUUAAAAUAGUAAUAAUAACACGUCUAUGAUAUCGUGAAUCAGCAUUAACUGUAAAAUUUUGUAAAUUUAAAAAAAUGGAACAUAAGAUUUUUAAAUGGAAGGUAAAAAAAAUAAAUUAAUAUAAAACUUAUAAAUUGAUGUAUUAUUAGUAAACAAAAUAAAAAUUUAUAAAUAUAAUGUGAAAUAAAAUAUAAAAUUUGGAAAUGGAACAUAAAAUUUGUAAAUCGAAGGUAAAACAAGUAAAUUAAUACAAAACUUGAAAAUUGAUAUAUUACUAGUGAAUAAAACAAAAAUUUGUAAACAUAACAUACAACCAGUAAAUUUACAUUGCAAAAUAAAUAAAAAUUUUAAAAACAGAACAUAAAACUUAUAAAUAAAAAGUAAAACAAGUAAAUUGAUAUAAAACUGGUAAAUUGAUAUAUUAUUUUAAAAUAAAACAAGAACUUGCAAAUACAACAUAAACUAGUAAAUCAACAUUGUAAAAUAAAAAAAAUAGAAAUAAAACAUAAGACUUAUAAAUGGAAGGUAAAACAAGUAAAUCAUUAUGAAACUAUUAAAUUGAUGUAAUAUUAGUAAACAAACUACAAAAAAUUUACAAAUAUAGUAUAAAACUAGUAAAUCAACAUUAAAUGUAAAAUAAAACAUAAAUUUUAAAAAUGAAAUACAUGACUUGUAAAUGAAUGAUAACAUAGUAAAUUAAUAUAAGAGUGGUAAAUUGAAAUCUUACUAGUAUACAAAACAAAAACUUAUAAAUGUACUAUAAAAUUAUAAAUAAAUAUUAAGUGUAAAAUAAAAUGUAAAUUUUAUAUAUUACACCUAAAAGUUAUGAAUAGAAGGUGAAUAGUUAAAUUAAUAUAAGAGUUAUUGAGAAAAAUUACAAAUGUAAAAUAAAAACUCAUUUUAAUAUUAAUUACCUUACCUAUUUACUAACUAUAAAUAAAAUGAUAGUUUUGGAUUUAUAUAAUACAUGUGAUGUUUUAUUAAGGAUAAACCUUAUUCUUAAAAUUGGAUUUUUAAACUCUUUUUAAAUUUUUUUGAAACUAUUAUAAAAUAAGGUGAUUUCCCAUCUUUCUAUAUCCCUCAAUAGUAACUCUUGAAUGGUUUCUAAAUACAAGUAAAUAAAAAAGUUUCAAAUUAUAGGAGUAUGCAAAAGACUCAAAAUUAGAUAUAAUUUAUUGAUAUAUCAUAUAUGUGUCUAAUAAUAUAAAAAUAUCUUUUUAUUUUCUUUUGUCUCGAUUCACAUCAAGAUAAACAAUUCCACUUAAUUAACUUGUGUAGUAACAAAUGCGAUUAUACAAAUUGUAAAAAAAAAAAAUUAUAAAUGUCCUAAAUUGAAUACAGAAUUUAUGGUUAAAGCCAAUUCAAUAAAAUUUAUUCCACUUAUCUUUAGUAUCAUUUUUUUUUGUUUUCAGUUGAUUAGUGAUUUUUUUUUCUUUGAUUAAAGUAAAUGAAUAAGUUAUUUUAUACUAAACUUCUAUAGAAACUAUGUUAUGUUUUUAUCAUUAAAAGUCUUAUAUUAAUUUACUUAUUUUACCUUGUAUUUACUAAUUUUAUAUAUAAUUAACAAAAUUUAUAUUCGUACAGCAGAAAAUCUUCUCCUCCUCCUUCUUCUUCUUCUUCUUCUAUGUUUUUUUAAAUAAUUCAGAAAGUGAAUUUCAACAUUUGCUAUUGAUAAUGAUAUGAAAAAAAAAAAUUCUAAAUAUGAUAAACUUCUCGAGAACAUAUUUCUUUCUAAAAUUAAUGACGUGAGGCUAACAUAAUUAUCUCAUUAAAUGCGAGACAAAAAUAAUAAAAUCAUCACAAUACUGUCAUUAUUUAUUAUUCUUAUUAUUUUGUUGCUGUUAUUUAUUUUUUAUAUUAAUAUUAUUUAUAUUUUGAAAAAGAUAGGUUUAGGUGAAAGCAAAUCUAUAUCAAAUUUUUUUUAAUAUCUUUAUCUUUCUAGAAUUCGAGGGCCAAUCAAAGAAAGCUAAUUGAAUGGGGGCAUAUGAAGUGACUAUCACAAAUAAUAAAUUAGUAAAUAAAAUUCCAAUAAAUAAAUAGCCACUAUCUGAAUUAAAAAAAUAAGGAAAACAGGAAUGCUGCAACAAAACAGACGACAAGCAAGACCAAAAACGACCAGAAAUUUGACAAUUCAUUUAUUUCAUAACAACAACCGAUGAAAAGGAAAAGACUGAUUCUGCGCAGACAUCACAAAACAGGAAAAAAAAGUACCGGUUCAAAAUUCAAACCCAUAUCUACGUAAAAUAAAUUUGUCCUAAUUUCGUAAUGAAAUUUAGCCGCCACUUUAAUUGAACAGGUCCAGAAACUCAUUAACGUAGAAUGUCAAUGUUGGCAUACAAUUUGAGGCAAAUAGUCAUUAUUUCCUCUCCUACGCUUGUCAAAAUUUGCCCCAGAGGGACUGGCAAAACGGUUCUCCCAAAAAAUUUAGGGUUCAAAGUUCUUGUGCCCACGUUCCUUAAUUGGAGUAAUUACAGUUUUACCUGUGCUUCCGGAUAUAUAAGAUUCAAAUUAACAGAAAAAUAAUAAAAUGCUCAGUACAAUUGGACCUGAACAAUUAAGUUAAGCAACAAUAUCACGGAUGAAUUAAUGGGACUUGAUUAGACCCAAACAUUUCGGUAUAAUAAGAUUAAGAUUACGGGUGACUUCAACUCGACCAAAGAUUGGAUGGUGGACCACUGCCCUCACUUAACGAUUCGAAUUUUUUUUCUCAAUUAUAUUAUAUUGGGUGUAACUAGUUAUUUUCUUUGAAUGGAAUAAAUAUCCCUUUGAUGGUAGUUCUAAUAAUAACUAGAUAUUAAUGAAUAUAAAAUUUUAGAUUGUGUCAUGGUAAAUUUUAUUGAUGGUAAAUUCUUAGUUGUACAUAUCAAUUGAAAUAAUGUAUACACAUAUAUGUUUCAGGGGAAAAAAAAUGUUAAUGUUUGGUGUAAAUCAUUUUCUACUUAUAGCCACUUAUUUAAUAGGACUAUUAAAAUAAAGUCCACAUUGUCCCCUAAAAUUUGAAUAAAACCCUUGUGUCGUUAUCAUCGUGUUGAAAUUUUGAACUUUAUACUGUAAGGCUGAGUUAGUUAAAAGUAACAUUAUGUUAAAUCAAGCUUACAAUCAUGAAUCUAAAUAUCCAAGAAAGGAAAAAAAAAAUUAGACAAACACCGAAAAAGAAUAAAAAAACAAAUUGCUCUCAAUGACUAAUUCAAGCUACAUCCAGAUUAAAUGUCAGCUAUUAGAAAAAAAAAAACAAUGUGGAAAAUCUAUAUUAUUCUAGAGAAGUAAAAGAGGGGUCAGAUUUUCUUAUCUUAUAUAUAUAUAUAUAUACUGCUGUACCGUACAUCCGCCUUGGCCGUACAGCAGAGGGGCNNNNNNNNNNNNNNNNNNNNNNNNNNNNNNNNNNNNNNNNNNNNNNNNNNNNNNNNNNNNNNNNNNNNNNNNNNNNNNNNNNNNNNNNNNNNNNNNNNNNNNNNNNNNNNNNNNNNNNNNNNNNNNNNNNNNNNNNNNNNNNNNNNNNNNNNNNNNNNNNNNNNNNNNNNNNNNNNNNNNNNNNNNNNNNNNNNNNNNNNNNNNNNNNNNNNNNNNNNNNNNNNNNNNNNNNNNNNNNNNNNNNNNNNNNNNNNNNNNNNNNNNNNNNNNNNNNNNNNNNNNNNNNNNNNNNNNNNNNNNNNNNNNNNNNNNNNNNNNNNNNNNNNNNNNNNNNNNNNNNNNNNNNNNNNNNNNNNNNNNNNNNNNNNNNNNNNNNNNNNNNNNNNNNNNNNNNNNNNNNNNNNNNNNNNNNNNNNNNNNNNNNNNNNNNNNNNNNNNNNNNNNNNNNNNNNNNNNNNNNNNNNNNNNNNNNNNNNNNNNNNNNNNNNNNNNNNNNNNNNNNNNNNNNNNNNNNNNNNNNNNNNNNNNNNNNNNNNNNNNNNNNNNNNNNNNNNNNNNNNNNNNNNNNNNNNNNNNNNNNNNNNNNNNNNNNNNNNNNNNNNNNNNNNNNNNNNNNNNNNNNNNNNCAGCAGUAUAUAUAUAUAUAUAUAUAUAUAGUCAUCAUUUUCUAUUUUUCCUGACCUUCACUGUGAAUUAUUCUUCUACCUGCUAUUUUUUAAUCUUUUAUGUUUUUACCAGAUCAAAGAAAGCGGUCAGCUCAAUUCCUCAUUUAGUCUAUGCAUUAUGCAUAUUUUUUUUUUUUAGAAAGAUUCAACGUGGCGGAAAAACUCUCUCUAAUAUUUAAUAAUAUUUCAUGAAUCUAUCAGAGUUUGAACUUAGGAUGUGAGUCUUAAUAAGAUUGUUCCUUUACCACUGGAACUAGAUUCAGCAACACCAAGUCAAUUAAAUUUGUCUGUUAUCCUCUCAGAUUAUCCUACAAUAUUACAAUUACUUUAUUUUUAAAAAAUUUACCCCACAAGUAUGUGUUAUAUAAUAUUUUUUGGGCGAAUUUUGAUUUACGCCCACAAGAGUGUUCAAUAUACUCUCAAGGUUCUAAAAACAUCAAUGUAUUCCCAUUUACAGUUAAAAAGACAAAAUAAAAAUAAAAAUUAUAAAUGCGCCUCUUAUUUACCCUCAUCUCUUCUUAAUAAAAUGGAGAUAAUUAAUAUUUUCAUAACUUUAGGAGGUAAAUUAAAAAUUAUCAUUCUAGGUAGGAGUAAAUUGAAAUUUACUCAUUUUUAUGAUAAAGUUUUACUGAUUUAUAGAUCCGAGGUAAAUUUCUAUCUCCGGCCUACCCCUUCCCUUUCUUUACUUUAUUUUCCUUAGGAAUUAGGAAUUUAUCUCUAAAAAAGGCAUGACUGCUAGAAAUCAUAUAUGAACUUGUUCUAAGUGGAUUUAUUAACGGGAGUUUCAUAUUUAGUGGAGUCUUUCAUCAAGGGCGUUGGAUCAAAGUCCUUUUUUUUUUUUAAUAACUAAAAUCUCAUUUUUUGAUUCAAUAAAAACAUGGUAGAACCUCAUUAAAUUAAUAUUCGAUAAAUUGAUAAUCUCAAUAAUAAUUUUUGUCAGUCUUAAUUUUACACUAACGUGGUAAAUUAAUAAUUCAAUAAAUUUAUUAGAUAGUAAAUUUUCUAAAUAAGAAAAAUCUAAUUUUUCUACGUGAUUCAACAAACACACAAAUUAAUAAUUAACUAAUUUGAAACUAAAUACAUAUGAUAUGUCUAGCAUAAUGCUUUAGACAUUUCAUCAGUCAUUAUUGCUUUUUUUGCACAUUUUUUAUGAAAAGUUAUUGUUGUUUUCUAUGUACAAUGUUAAGAGAAAUAAGAGAAAGAUCAUCUUAAUAUAUUGCCUCCAAAAAGUCUUCUACAAUUAGUUACCAUAUAAUUGUGUUCUAGCCAUGCAAUCUACUGAAAGGAUUAUUUAGAAUCAUAUCAUAUAACUUGAUAAAAUCACUAAAUUUUUUAAUUAUACUACCAUAUUUCAUAAAAAUUCCUAUUAUGAACAUGAUAUUAUCUUUGUAAAUUAAUAACUUAUUAAUCUGUUGAUAAAUUAAUAUAUUUUUGAUGGUCGCAAAACUAUUAAUUUAUCGAGAUUGUAUUGUACCUUACUCUAAUUAGUCUAGAUUUUUUACUGUUAUAAAUUGUUUUCUGUUGUAAAUCUUAAUUUUUGGAGCCAAUUUUGAUGCUGAAAUAUUUUUUAAUUUUCAUAAUCAACAACCUAAAUAAAUAUUUCUUCCCAUGAUUAACAUAGUGACAUCCACCAAAACCAAAUAAAUUAAUACUACUAGCUUAUAAGAAAGCUCAAGCUAUAAUUAAAAACUCCUAACAUCACAAUCCUAGGCGUUUAGGGUCAAGCUGUGGCCACACUUAUGUAACAUGGCGGCAACUAAGAAGACCAAAUGAGGCAACAUUCAAAUAAUUAACAAAUAUUCGUUGAUGUUAAACAGCUCAACCAACCCAUGGAAAUUUGUUGAUGCAACAGAUAAUGAUGCUUUGAAAUGUUUGUGUUUCAUUAACUGGUAGAAAGAUUAAAGCAGGAGCUUUUUGAUUUCCAGAAAGCGAAGUUCAUAUACAAAUAGUCCUCAUCGCUCGAAAGAGAAGGGGAAAAAAAGUUCAAAUGAUGAUUCAGAAAGCUGAAUCAUCAGAAUCACUAAUACAGGUAACAUAUUGGAAACAUUACCUAAUAAAUGAUACAUAAAAGUAUUACAAUGCCAUGCAAUACCAGCUUCUUUAGAAACGGGUUGUUCCUUAAUCAUCAUGCUGGUGGAGCUUCUACAUACAGAAAUGGGUCACCUGCAGCUAUGCUGGCUGACAGGGGAGGAGUUUCCUCUCUCGCUCCCAAAAUCAUGAAUGUCAUCGAGUUCAUUUCCGUCUAAGAUAAAGGGGUUGUUGUUGACACUUGGUUCAGAGCUAGCAUUGCUGCUUGUGGCAAGAGGAGAGUCUGUAACACUAACUGUCCUACUUUUUAUGGAUCCUGAUCUCACACUAUACAUGGAAGAAGCUGGAAUGUUUGUCAUUAGUGGCCGCAAACUACCUGAAUUAAUGCUUCGCCUUAUAUCCUACAUAAAAAAGAAAAAAAAAUGAAUUAAUUCUUGCCACCAAAUGUGCAAAGCUUGUUGCUUCAAAUGUAUAUGUGCUGCAAGAUAUGAUUUUCAUUGCAGUUAAUAGAAUUUAUAGAGUGAAGCAAAUUGUGUAGUAGUAUCAUUACGCCAAUGCUACUAAUCAAUCCACAAAGCCAGCUUUGGCAAAGCUUCAUGGUAAAGUGCAAUGGGAAAUGCAUACCAUAUGUCUCAAAGCCAUAUCAAGAGAUUUCUUUGAGAGUGUUCUUCCAAAGCCUGAGCUAUCGACGGAUGAAGAUGACUUCCCAGCAGAAGUGUAAUGGGUGGAGUGAUUUUCCUGCUUCGGUGGUGCCAGCUUCCUCAUGUUCACCACCCUUUCGACCAUUUUGGUUCCAAUUACUACUGGGUUCACAUCAUCACCAUCACUGGCAUUUACUCUACGCGCAGAAGUAAUGCAGCCUCCAUUACCAUUUGAAGUCCUUACUCUAGAAGGAGAGCAGGACUGCUGUCUGCGUCUUCCCUUAGAACCAGCCUCAACAGAAGGUGAUUGAGCACUUGGUGCUCCUGGCCUGCCCCGAGAAGCUGAAGAUGGCCUUUCUGGCAAUGAUGUCCUUAAAUUUGGUGGUGCAUCAAGUGAAAAACCAGGCAUCUCAGAGGGUUUCCAAGGCCGAGAUUUUACAGUUGGGGAAGUGCCACGUGAUGGAGCUGAAUUUUUCACUGUUGUGGAACUUGACUUUGACACUGAAGAAGAACAACCAGGAGCCGCAGAUACGCCAGAUGCACCUGAUGGUGCUGAUCGUUGACGAGUUGGUGUAGCUGAUCUUACUGUUUGUCUAGAAGUUGGCGUAGUUGAUCUUACGGUUGCUCUAGAAGUUGGUGUAGCAGAUCUUGUUGUUGAUCUAGAAGUUGGUGUUGCUGAUCUUACUGUUGAUUUAGAAGUUGGUGUUGCUGAUCUUGGUGCUAGCUUAGGAGCUGUUACAGUGGGUCUAGCAGUUGGUGUUGACGAACGAGCUGUGGAUCUAGUCGGAGUUGAGGAUCUCACUGCUGGAGCCGUAGGCUUAGAUGAUGGCAAGGUGGCCCGUGAUGUAGGCGUAGAUGGUCUUGAAGACUUAGCUGUUGAGUUUAAAGUGGGGCGUCCAGUUGGUGUAGCAGCUCUAGCACUAGAUGUUCGUCCACCAGAAGAUGAUGGCCUGCUGUCACCAGUACUGGAAGAGUUCACCCUAGAAGGCAAAUUGGGAUUCUUAGAAAGGACACUACCCCUCGAAGCAGGAUCUUCCUGAACAUUUGCCAGCUGCAAGUCCAUGGAAGCAGGAAUUUACAAGCUAUUACAUAAAUGGUAAUACCACAAAUUUUCUUAACCACCAAAAGACAGUACCAUCAAUCAUCAUAACUUGACAAUCAUUAAAGCUUGGCGAAAUAUCCCAGCGAGAUCAUACACACAAACGUAUUACAGUUGACGAGGCUUGAAAGCAUCUAGAACUUUAUAUACAUAGAAACUUACCCUUGUUUUCAGAGCAGUUGGACGAGCAUUAGGCAUCUCCAUCUGAUUCAGUUUGGCUUUUUGUGAUUCCAUCUCCAAGGAAGGAAAAACUGCUGUACGGCCAAGGCGGAUGUACGGUACAGCAGUAGUUUAUCAAUACUCAUUAAUAAAAUAUGUUAUAGCAAAAUUAUGAAAAACAGUGCAAGAGUUCAACAGUUCAUGUCUAUUUGUGCCAAAACUCAAAUGAUAGUUGCAAAAUUCUUCACGAUGAUGGCGGCCAGUUGGCUUCCAUUUGUAGUUUUGUGUGCUUGGCUUUCUUUUAAAGCUUGGAUGCACGGUGAUCGGAGAGGAAGAAGAGAGUAAAAAAUGUUGAUGUAAGGGUAGUUUGGUAAUACGUAGGGUUUAUUUAUAAAUAAUUUGAUUUGCAAUGUUUUUGUGGGGUGUAUUUAUAAUUGGACUGGUAUUAUAAAAUAAAUGGAGCGGAGACAUCGUCACCUCUGAUAAUUACGUUAAAUGAAUUAAUAUAGUUUUGUUUUGACCGCACGCCAAAUUCUCUUCUAAUGAGAUAAUCUCAUUUAGUUUAUGUUAUUAGUCAAAUUUUAUUCUUUUAAAAAUUUAUUUGUUUUUCUUUCUCUGGAAUCAAAUGAGGAAAUGAACAUUCAAUUCUAAAACCAUAUAAUGUAAUAAUGAGACAAAUUCAUUUAUUCCUUUUACUAUUAAUCUAUUAUCGUUUAAAGGGAUAUCAUCAUUUUACCACCUAAUGUUUUCUAACAUAUAAUUUUAUCACUAAAGUUCGCAAUUUCUUUUUCGCACUUAAUGUUUUAAUUUCUUUUAUUUUGUUAAUGAAUUACUAAUGUUGCAUUGGUAUUUUAAGAAUUUCAGUAUAUUCAGUGUUGAAGGAAUUUCACAAGAUAUAAUAUUCACAAUUUUAUUAGUUAAUUAUUUUAGAUAUAUAUAAUAAGCAAUCGAAAAAAAAGUAUUACUUCUUUGUAUAUAAUUAAUUUUAUAUUUUUUAAACAUGGAUGGUUAAAUUACAGUUACACAAUUUAGUGGUAAAAGAUUUUUACUAUCAUUUAUGUUUAAAAUUUGUUAAAAUAAAAUGAUAAAAACUGAUAUUAAUUGAGAAAAAUAAUAAUCAUAAAAAUUUGGUGAUAAAAUAAUAUGUCCAAAAACAUCAGACGGUUAAAUAAUCCAAGACAAUUUUUUAUGUGUGUUAGAAGAAAAAAAAAAUUAAUUUGAUGUUAGUGAGAGGAUCCAUUCCUCCUGAACUCUAAGCCGGAAAGACAAAGUAACUAAUUGGGCUUAAGGGCAAAAACCAGUCAACCCAAACCCAACAUACAAUUUUAGGUGGGCCUAAAACUUAUGCCCGCAUCGAGCAUACGAAGCUGGAAGGAACAAAACAGGAUUAUUAAUUAAUUUUAUAAAUGAAAUUUAAAGCGUUAAAUUUGAAAAUUUCAUUUAGAUUUAAGGUCAAAUAUGAUAUAUAUUCAUCUAGCUGAAACCCUCGCCUGCAAUUGUUAAAGAAGGGUUAACCAAAUCACUAGGGCGUGUUUGGCAGUGGGCACUAAGUUUGGCGCACACACAGAGCACGGUCAGUACAAAGCUGGUCAAUUCGCCAGCCUUGGGCCAAAUGAGGCCCGCCCUCAUCGUGGGUUUUAGCGGGUCUGGUUAAUAUUAUAUUUUUUUAGUUCAGUCUUUAAUAUUAUUUAAUUUAAUUUAAUUAAUUAACUACUAAUGACUACUAACCAUAGUGAGUUGUCUCUGACUACCCUUAGCCAUUGUAACUUGUCACUGUUCACCAUCGUCAGGCACCAAGUAUCUAUUUAUAUUAAAUAUUACAUCAUUUGAAUCUUCAUAUGGUCAGAAAAUAGACAUUUGUUUGUAGUGAUUUUAUGCCAAAUUUUAAAUUGAAGUUUAACUAUCAAUCUAUGAUCAACGAAAGUUCUAUUAUAGGAAAUGUUGCUGCUAGCGCAGACAAAAAUUCUAACUUAAAAUUAAAAAAUAACAACAGCAAAGUGUACCAACAAAAAUGAGUGAGAUUUUAACUUUAAUUAAACGAAUAACAAAAGAAAAGAUAUAGCUAAAACAACAUGAGUGAUAUUUUACACUUCAAUUAAUAAAAAAUAAACAGAGAGAAAGGAUAUUUAAUUAAUCAAGUGAAAAUCUUCUCUUACGUUAAAACAACAUGAUUGAGAUUUUAACUUUAAUUUAAAAAAAUGAAAGAGAAAGAAACCAUUUUUAAUUAAUCAAAUUAGUCUAAAAAUAGAUGAUUAACAAUAAUAUACCAAUCGUCAAACACUCUUUAGUAAACCGAAAAUCUCUUUUAUUUUAUUUUUAAAGUCAAUGGUUCAAAAUGUCUCGCGCCGUUAUAAAAUUAGAACAUUUAUAAUUUAAGCCUAUUCAAUCUUGAACUAUAAUAUCUCUUUAUAAUAUUAAAAGAAAAUAACAACGACAAUGUUCACCACCUAAAAAAUAAAAAUAAACACGUUAAAUAGGAAAAAAAGUUAAAAUCAAUUUGAGUCCAAUAACUUGGACUCUCUGAAUAUAUUCUCAAGACCACGAGCAAAGCAUCUCUUACGACGCAUUGUUUAUUCCACGUAACGGAAACCACUCAUCACGCAGUAGAUGAUGAAUAUUCGAUGUGGUGGGGACAUUCUAGCAAAAAGGUGGCACUGACAGCAACGACUGGACUUCAACACAGUCAAUUUCCACACUACCUCAAUACUUGUCAACACAGCACUAACUCAAACACUUGACAAACCCAUUCAUCAGCUGACACGUAAUUAGUAGCACCAAACUUGCAUGCACCUAAAAUAAUAACCGUUUCUGUUGUGUUUAAGGAACACUCGGGACGCAUUAGAUUCGUUUUUCUCACCGAAACAUUUGGCAGAGAAAGCGUCUGCGGUCACGACCACAACCAUGUCAUCAUCGUUCACCGGCUCAUUCGGUGACGAUGACUUCAUGGCCUACGAUCCUCGUCUUGCUUCGCAGGGAUUCAACUCAUCGUUCUCGCAAUUCGAGGGGGACUCUGUAAAGGACUCAGCCGGUGACUCGUCUCCGAUCUUCAGUAGCCAGUCCUACGGAGCUGGCGACGAAGUGUUCUCGUCCAAUCCGCUGCCGGAUACUCCAUCGCCGCCGUCGAUCUACGCCGCCGGUGGUGGAUUCUCAAGUUUCUCGCCGGAGCGGAACGGUAAGAGUUUUGGUGGAGGUUUUGGUGCCGAGGAUGAUUCGAUCUUGCCGCCGCCAACGGAGAUGCCGGCUGAGGAAGGCUUUGCUCUCAGAGAGUGGCGUAGGUGAGCUCGCUAUUUCGUUUACUUAUAUAAUUGUUUUAUAUGCCUAUUGCCUAUUGAUUGAGUGCUGUGUGAAUCAGUCUUGUGGCUAGUUCCGCUGAGCUUCUUUGUAUAGAUAUUUUAAAAAAAUAUUAAUUUAGGUUGGCUUUCAUUCAAUUUCUUAUUUUUAUUAUUUUUACAAUAUGCACUAGACGUCCAUCUAAAGUAGACUAAGGAAUCGAAUCGGCAAAUAAUCAAAGCAAAUCUUUAUCAAUUAAUUGACUUGUCGGUUAUAUUCAGCGGUUAGUGAUUUCGUUAUACGGAUUAAAAGCCACUACAUCUCAAUACCAAGCUGGUACAGUCUCACUAGUACUUUUCUUAGGACCUAUAGCUGGAAUGAUUAAUCAACAAAUAAGAGUAGAUUUAAUUAAAAGAUAGAGUUGGUUGCUUCGAGGGAACCAAGACCUUCAAAGAAUUGCUACUUGACUCAACUUUUUGCAUAACAAACAUAACAUGGAGUUUAAGCAUUGCAUUAUCAGAAACGAAAUUACCUCUUCAUGACCUCUUGUACUGCAUUUAUAGUAGUUGGAUUUUAUUUUGAUUUUUUUUUAAAUAGCAAUUUUGGUGAUUGUGUAUGAAGAUCUUGGCUGAUUUGAAGUGUGAUUGUGGGUGGGAGAUGUGCAGACAAAAUGCGAUAAGGCUUGAACAAAAGGAGAAGAAGGAGAGAGAGAUGUUAAGGGAGAUAAUUGAGGAAGCAGAGCAGUACAAAGUUGAGUUCUAUAGGAAGCGAGCACUUGCUGUUGAGAAUAACAAAGCUUCUAAUAGGGAAAAGGAAAAGGUAAGAUCCACCUGCACCUGAUACUCUGUUGUUCUCUUUCAUCUUCUUAUAUAUUAUUUGUGAAUUUGCAUCCUUAUGUGCCUGUAGAAACAUAGGAUUAAGAUUGGAAGUGGGAUCGGUACAGUAACAACAACUAAUAAUCAGUUAAUUGUGGAUGGAUAUUCAUUAAUUAGUGUCGUUAUACUUGGCUUAUUGCAGAUUGUUCAGUAGUAAACUGCAUGUCUAGAGUAUUGUACAUUGAUUAAAUGUGUGCUGUGUUAAAUACAUUUUGCAAAUGUUAGAUGUACUUAGAACUGACACUGAAUAUGAUGUCUCAGCUGUUUCUGGCAAGUUGGGAGAAGUUUCAUGGUGAAGCUGAGAAGAAUUACUGGAAGGCAAUUGCAGAACUCAUUCCUUACGAGGUGCCAGCUAUAGAGAAAAGGGGGAAGAAAAAAGAUCAAGAGAAGAAGAAGCCUUCCAUCAUUGUGAUCCAGGGGCCUAAGCCCGGGAAACCAACUGACCUUUCAAGGAUGCGCCAAAUACUUGUGAAACUCAAGCACAAUCCUCCUCCUCAUAUGAACCCAAAACCACCACCACCACCACAAACAGAACCUACCAAAGAUGCAAAAACCAGCCCUGCUGUUGGUUCUGGCACUGCUACCUCAAAGCCUGCAGCCCCUGCAACUCCCAAGGGUGUGGCUGCAGCUUGAGAGACAUUCUACCUCCCUGCUGAAUCUGCUUAUGUGAAGAGUAACUAGCUAUGUUUCAGAAAUGUUUAUUUGGUAUGAUCUUGAACAUUAUGAUGUCUGAAAGUUUGUUAUUGUGAUCAUGCUAAUCUAAGCAUGUGG
This 18430-nucleotide long non-coding RNA is filed under the name Citrus sinensis (sweet orange). RNAcentral's name for it is "long non-coding RNA (CSIN_LNC002584)". Lineage: Eukaryota; Viridiplantae; Streptophyta; Magnoliopsida; Sapindales; Rutaceae. The record is from RNAcentral.